This 564-nucleotide ribosomal RNA is filed under the name Triticum aestivum (bread wheat). RNAcentral describes it as "partial small subunit ribosomal RNA". The record is from RNAcentral. Lineage: Eukaryota; Viridiplantae; Streptophyta; Magnoliopsida; Poales; Poaceae.
AUGGAACGGUGGGACAAACCAACAUACAUCUCCAACGGAGCUCUCGGCAAGCUCUACCGAGCGGCUGCGAGCCGUAUGCAGAGCGCUCCUGCCCCCUCGUCUUCGGCUCAAUCGAGCCCAGCGUUCGAUCCUGACCUAGAGGUCCCUGGCUUUGAGGAAUUCCUGGUAUCCGCGGAGGAGUGCUAUGACCUGUAUGCGGAGAAGCUGAGCACCCUGAUGAGCUACUAUGGUGCGGAGCAUGAGGACGAGAUCCUGACGGGCAACAUCCAGAAUAGGCUCCUGUACCUGAAGAAGGACAACAAGAGGUACUUCGAGAUGAAGGACCGCAUCAUCGACUCGGUGGAGGGCCUGCACAAGGAGGUGCAGGGUUGGUUCAGGAGCCGCCCGAAGGCAGAGGCGUCGAGGUGGGCGUCGGCGUGGUACUGCGUGACUUAUCACCCGGAACACCGACGGCCGGGAAAGAAGCACUUCUGGAGCUUCCCGUGGAUUGUCUGCGACGAGCUGCUGAAGAUCAAGAAGUCCAGUAAGCGGCGCAGGCAGCAGGUGGAUGACGCGGCGGCCUGA